RNAcentral lists this ribosomal RNA (491 nucleotides) under uncultured bacterium. Its description in RNAcentral is "partial 16S ribosomal RNA". It matches the Rfam family "Bacterial small subunit ribosomal RNA", at positions 29 to 506 of the family's 1533-position model. The record is from RNAcentral.
AGUGAACGCUGGCGGUAGGCCUAACACAUGCAAGUCGAACGGCAGCACAGUAAGAGCUUGCUCUUACGGGUGGCGAGUGGCGGACGGGUGAGGAAUACAUCGGAAUCUACUUUUUCGUGGGGGAUAACGUAGGGAAACUUACGCUAAUACCGCAUACGACCUACGGGUGAAAGCAGGGGAUCUUCGGACCUUGCGCGAUUGAAUGAGCCGAUGUCGGAUUAGCUAGUUGGCGGGGUAAAGGCCCACCAAGGCGACGAUCCGUAGCUGGUCUGAGAGGAUGAGCAGCCACACUGGAACUGAGACACGGGCCAGACUCCUACGGGAGGCAGCAGUGGGGAAUAUUGGACAAUGGGCGCAAGCCUGAUCAAGCCAUACCGCGUGGGUGAAGAAGGCCUGCGGGUUGUAAAGCCCUUUUGUUGGGAAAGAAAAGCAGCAGGUUAAUACCCCGCUGUUCUGACGGUACCCAAAGAAUAAGCACCGGCUAACUUCGU